RNAcentral lists this long non-coding RNA (209 nucleotides) under Gossypium raimondii (Peruvian cotton). Its description in RNAcentral is "long non-coding RNA (GRAI_LNC008079)". Lineage: Eukaryota; Viridiplantae; Streptophyta; Magnoliopsida; Malvales; Malvaceae. The record is from RNAcentral.
UUUAGUUCUUGGGCUUGAAUUUUGUUUCUUCUAUCCUUUCAUCCAUUGUUUUUUUUUUGUUUUAAAAUUGGUUUCUUAAUUUCUUGACAAGUUUUGUAUCAUGGUAAAGAAUCAAGAUUCCAUGUCUACUGUUGAUUUCAAUCACCCUUUAUAUUCAUACCUACCUAAUAUAUCUAAUGCUCUUUUAGUCUCUUAUUAGCUUCUUUAAG